This 858-nucleotide ribosomal RNA is filed under the name uncultured bacterium. RNAcentral describes it as "bacterial SSU rRNA". It matches the Rfam family "Bacterial small subunit ribosomal RNA", at positions 34 to 886 of the family's 1533-position model. The record is from RNAcentral.
CGCUGGCGGCGUGCCUAACACAUGCAAGUCGAACGGUAACAGGUCUUCGGAUGCUGACGAGUGGCGCACGGGUGAGUAACGCGUGGAUAUCUGCCUAUUAGUGGGGGACAACUUUCGGAAACGGAAGCUAAUACCGCAUAAUCUCUACGGAGGAAAGCAGGGGACCUUUCGGGGCCUUGUGCUGAUAGAUGAGUCCGCGUCUGAUUAGCUAGUUGGUAGGGUAAAGGCCUACCAAGGCGAUGAUCAGUAUCUGGUUUGAGAGGAUGAUCAGACACACUGGAACUGAGACACGGUCCAGACUUCUACGGAAGGCAGCAGUGGGGAAUAUUGCACAAUGGGGGAAACCCUGAUGCAGCGACGCCGCGUGUGGGAAGAAGGCUUUAGGGUUGUAAACCACUUUCAAUUGGGAAGAAGAGAUGAGUACUAAUAUUAUUCUGAUUUGACGGUACCUUUAGAAGAAGCACCGGCUAAUUUCGUGCCAGCAGCCGCGGUAAUACGAAAGGUGCAAGCGUUGUUCGGAUUUACUGGGCGUAAAGCGAGUGUAGGUUGUUUAUUAAGUCGGAUGUGAAAUCCCAGGGCUCAACCCUGGAACUGCAUUCGAUACUGAUAGGCUAGAGUUCGGGAGGGGUAAGCGGAAUUCCGUGUGUAGCAGUGAAAUGCGUAGAUAUACGGAGGAACACCUGAGGCGAAGGCGGCUUACUGGACCGAUACUGACACUGAGACUCGAAAGCGUGGGUAGCAAACAGGAUUAGAUACCCUGGUAGUCCACGCCCUAAACGAUGUCAACUAGCCGUUGCGGGUAUCGACCCCUGCAGUGGCGAAGCUAACGCGAUAAGUUGACCGCCUGGGGAGUACGGU